Helianthus annuus (common sunflower) is the source of this 818-nucleotide long non-coding RNA. RefSeq lists it as uncharacterized. The transcript is spliced from 2 exons. NCBI's taxonomy places the organism in Eukaryota, Viridiplantae, Streptophyta, Magnoliopsida, Asterales, Asteraceae. The record is from RefSeq and is a predicted model, not a curated record.
AACAUCUCAUUCUCAAGUAUCUCUGUUGCUCUCUUUCUUCCUGCACUCUUUUUUCUAUGAGCCACCACCACCAUCACAGUGUUGCCAUCUUCACCACCGCCUAACCACCAUCUCCGGUCGCUUCCUCAAAUCCGGCGACCACCAAGCUCCACCUCACCGAUAACUACAAGAACCCCUUCGUUUAAAUCUGUACAAUCACAUUUGAAUUAGAUCCGAUAACCACAAGAACCCCUUUCGUUUAAAUCAGAUCUGAAUCAGACCUGUGAGAGAGAGUGUGGUGGUGAUCAGAGGUUGGGAGAAGAUGCGGUGGUGGGGUUGUUGUAGAUUCGGUGGCGGGGGUGGUUGUAGAUUGACUGGUGGUGGGGGUCGGAAUGAGCGGUGUGACUUUUAUACGGCGGGGGUGGUGGCUGAAGAUCCGGCAGGGGUGUGGGGUAGAUGGCGGUGGUGGUGUUCGACUAGUGGAUGGAUAAAGAUAUCGAUGAUGUUGAUAAACGUGUCGAGUGGCUCCAUUCUGAACGGUAUUCUUCUGCUGCUGGUAACAUUUUUGGAGAGCCACAGAAGACCACGCGGGUCGGGGAUGAGUACUAGGCACAAAUCCCAGAUUUAAUAACAGAAAACGAGCGAUUCCAGCUCAUAAAUGCAAAGGGUGAGUUUUGUGCUGUAGGUUACAGAGAACAAGUUUGAAACAAUUUUCAUUUUUUAUUCACAUUGAUGAUUCUCAAUUAAUUAACACUGAUGUUAAUGUUGGAAUCUUGACUCCGAAUUUCACACUGUCGAUUGCAAUAAGUUUUGGCUUUGAUUUGAUAAAGUUUUGUUCC